Molecule: transfer RNA, 72 nt
Filed under: Camellia sinensis var. assamica
Lineage: Eukaryota; Viridiplantae; Streptophyta; Magnoliopsida; Ericales; Theaceae
Also listed under: 1 other name
Description: tRNA-Lys
Rfam family: tRNA
About the family: Transfer RNA (tRNA) molecules are approximately 80 nucleotides in length. Their secondary structure includes four short double-helical elements and three loops (D, anti-codon, and T loops).
Source: RNAcentral
GGGUUGCUAACUCAACGGUAGAGUACUCGGCUUUUAAACUAGUUCCGGGUUCGAAUCCCGGGCAACCCAUUG